UACGUAGGGUGCGAGCGUUAAUCGGAAUUACUGGGCGUAAAGCGUGCGCAGGCGGUUUGGUAAGACAGGUGUGAAAUCCCCGGGCUCAACCUGGGAAUGGCAUUUGUGACUGCCCGGCUAGAGUGUGUCAGAGGGGGGUAGAAUUCCACGUGUAGCAGUGAAAUGCGUAGAGAUGUGGAGGUAUACCGAUGGCGAAGGCAGCCCCCUGGGAUGACACUGACGCUCAUGCACGAAAGCGUGGGGAGCAAACAGG
Molecule: ribosomal RNA, 253 nt
Filed under: uncultured bacterium
Lineage: Bacteria
Description: partial 16S ribosomal RNA
Rfam family: Bacterial small subunit ribosomal RNA
Source: RNAcentral